Molecule: ribosomal RNA, 253 nt
Filed under: uncultured bacterium
Lineage: Bacteria
Description: partial 16S ribosomal RNA
Rfam family: Bacterial small subunit ribosomal RNA
Source: RNAcentral
UACAGAGGUGGCAAGCGUUGUUCGGAAUUACUGGGCGUAAAGGGCGCGUAGGCGGUCUUUUAAGUCUCGUGUGAAAUCCCUCGGCUCAACUGAGGAACUGCACGGGAUACUGGAUGACUUGAGUUCGGGAGAGGGAAGCGGAAUUCCGGGUGUAGCGGUGAAAUGCGUAGAUAUCCGGAGGAACACCGGUGGCGAAGGCGGCUUCCUGGACCGAUACUGACGCUGAGGCGCGAAAGCUAGGGGAGCAAACGGG